This 196-nucleotide small nuclear RNA is filed under the name Cephalotus follicularis. Its description in RNAcentral is "U2 spliceosomal RNA". It matches the Rfam family "U2 spliceosomal RNA". From Rfam's summary of the family: U2 is a small nuclear RNA (snRNA) component of the spliceosome (involved in pre-mRNA splicing). Complementary binding between U2 snRNA (in an area lying towards the 5' end but 3' to hairpin I) and the branchpoint sequence (BPS) of the intron results the bulging out of an unpaired adenosine, on the BPS, which initiates a nucleophilic attack at the intronic 5' splice site, thus starting the first of two transesterification reactions that mediate splicing. The record is from Rfam by way of RNAcentral. Lineage: Eukaryota; Viridiplantae; Streptophyta; Magnoliopsida; Oxalidales; Cephalotaceae.
AUACCUUUCUCGGCCUUUUGGCUAAGAUCAAGUGUAGUAUCUGUUCUUAUCAGUUUAAUAUCUGAUAUGUGGACCAUCGGUUCACACGAUAUUAAAUUAAUUUUUUGAGGGGGAAGAUCCAUCUCAGUGGCUUGCUACUGGGGUCUUUGAGUGUCGCCCAUGUGUUGCACUAUUGCAAGGGCCCGGCGCACCCCAC